RNAcentral lists this ribosomal RNA (253 nucleotides) under uncultured bacterium. RNAcentral's name for it is "partial 16S ribosomal RNA". It matches the Rfam family "Bacterial small subunit ribosomal RNA", at positions 524 to 776 of the family's 1533-position model. The record is from RNAcentral.
UACGAAGGGGGCUAGCGUUGUUCGGAAUUACUGGGCGUAAAGCGCGCGUAGGCGGUGAUCCAUGUCAGGGGUGAAAUCCCGGGGCUUAACUCCGGAAUUGCCUUUGAAACGGGAUCGCUAGAGUCCGAGAGAGGAUGGCGGAAUUCCUAGUGUAGAGGUGAAAUUCGUAGAUAUUAGGAAGAACACCGGUGGCGAAGGCGGCCAUCUGGCUCGGUACUGACGCUCAGGCGCGAAAGCGUGGGGAGCAAACAGG